AUGGACGGUAGGACUGAUAUCACAUUAAAUCAGGAUCACUAGGGAGUUAAGAUCAUUUUAUUAUUUUUUUAUUAUUAUUGUUCUUUCAUAAACUUUUUACCUUUGAUUUUGAUAGUUGAUAUAGAAUUCAUUUUUUCUCAUUUUUGCAGGAUGAUUAAUAACUUAAGAUCGUUUUAUUUUUAUUAUUGAUCUUGUAUAAUUUUUAAAUUUAAUUUUGCUAUUUGAUGUAGAAUUCAUUUUUUGAUUUGUUAUUUUUGCUAUACUCAUUACUAUUUUUAUUGUUGUUUUUGAUUUAGUUUAUAAUUUCUUUUUUUAACGUUAUACACUCUUGUUUUAAUUUUUAAACAAAAAGGGGGAUAUGUAGCAUACCAGGCAUAUUAGCAUCUUGGAAGUAUGAUUGAUGUAUUAAUAUUGUAUCUUAUGUAUUCAUUUACCAGACUCAUGGUCAGGUUACUUAUUGAUCAUUGUAUGGAUGAAUCUGCAGUCCAAAGGACAAGAGAAUUCCUGAGCAGGGCAUUACUGGCCUCAAUGUCCUAGCUCAUGCCUUGUCAGAUCACAUUCCUUUCCAAGCCUAUGGGUCUAAACCUAACCGCAAAUUUUGCUAUCAUAUCAGUCCCGUUAUUCCCCUGGGGUAUCUUAUCCUUGCCAAAGGAGUGAGCCUUACAGUGGAUUAUGGCUACUUCUUUUGGCAACUGAACUGCAUCCAAGAGUUGUGAUAUGAGUUCUCCAUAUGCUAUGUUUUUUCCUGCAGAUGUAAUGAAACCUCUGUUCUUCCCGUUCAAAACUGAAAAUGCAUACUGCGAGUCACAAAAAAAAACAACACAUUAAUUCUUUUGUCCUUUCCUAAGGUGAUACUGAAGAUACAAAUGUUGGGGAGACACAAGAUCUGCCUUCAAGGAGUCUAUUAUUAUCUAGCAUUAAAGAAAUGGACAAGCAGCUAUGUCAUAAGAUCCCAUUGAGAAAAUCCGAGAAGAGGUCUAAUGAAGGAAAUGUUUUUCAAAAUGGACCUGGAAAAACAGGCAGAACUUCAAAAGGUAUGCGGCAGAUUCCCCAAUUGAUAAAUGGGCAGGGGACAUGAAUAGGCAAUUUUCAGUUAAAGAAGUCAAAACUAUUAAAAAGCACAUGAAAAAAGUGCUCUAAAUCUCUUAUAACCAGAGAGAUGCAAAUCAAAACAGCUCUGAGGUGUCACAUAGAAUCUAAUUUUAAAAAGUCAUUUUCCUAACCAUGCUUUUAUACAAUAGUCUCUCAAACUUCACAACAAAAGAGAAUUUAGAAAAACAAUAAUAAAACACAUCAGAUCAUCCA
Molecule: long non-coding RNA, 1305 nt
Filed under: Monodelphis domestica (gray short-tailed opossum)
Lineage: Eukaryota; Metazoa; Chordata; Mammalia; Didelphimorphia; Didelphidae
Description: lncRNA (ENSMODG00000050504.1)
Source: RNAcentral